This 1053-nucleotide long non-coding RNA is filed under the name Homo sapiens (human). RNAcentral's name for it is "HSALNT0311622". The record is from RNAcentral. Lineage: Eukaryota; Metazoa; Chordata; Mammalia; Primates; Hominidae.
UGUUGUGCUGGGCGAAUCCCUUUCUUGUCUGGUUCAUUUGGACCCUCCAAAGCCCACAGGCUGGAACGGCUGAGUCAUCCAAACAAAAAAGGUGGCAGCCCAUCCCUCCCCCAGGAGCUCUACCCUGUCUCAAGUAGGUGCUACCCUGUUGCUGGUGGCUGGCUGGAAUUCCAAGCCAGUUGAUCUUAUCCUGUGAGGUCCCUUGGAAGUGGGGCCCACAGACUGACGCUGCUCUGCUUCCUGGAUUCAGCCCUCUUCCUAAGGUGCCGAUGGGAUAUGUGCCUGUUGGACAAGGCCCAACUUCUCCAACCUUGGAAUCAAGUUGGACACUGUUGCCCUCAUUUUCUGUCCCACACCAUUUUACCUCAAAGCAAUCAUUGAAAACCCAGCUUUGGAAAGAUAUGACAACUGUGAAAGGAAUAUACUGCAAUCUGAUGUUCGAACUGUGAACUUCCUCAAUCGAGUAGUUCCCAAGGUGUCCAAGAAGGGUCAGCUAUCAAUGUAUAUCCUCUGAAAACUGGAAAUAUUCCAUGGCACCCCUGUGAACUCACUGUGGCCCCUACAGUUUGAGAACCAUAGCCUUGUCUCAUAUUGCUUCUGAUACACAGAGUGCCAUGCUGAUUUGGGUGUAUUCUUUUCCUGUCUUUGUACUCUCCACAUAUAUUAUAAAAUGUGGACCAGAAGAAUUCUAUAUUUCCCUUUUUUUAAUUUGACAAUGUUAUGAGUGUAUUCCCAUGUCAAUAAAAAUUCUUUUAAAAAUUAUUUAUAUCUGAAUCAUAUACCAAAUUUACCAAUAUCGAAUUUAAUCUUCCUCCAGUCCUUGAAUUUUCCAGCUGUAUUUCAUUUUGCUAUUAUCUGUCAAUAUUCCUUAAAAUGGAUUUCUAGAAGCAGUAUUACCAAAUGAACUUCUUAAACAAUCUUGAUAACUAUUGUUAAAUUGCUUUUCAGAAAUAAUGCACUAAUUUAUAUUCCAAUAAAAAAUACAUGGCAGUGGCUAUUUUGCCACAUUCUUAACUGCACUGGGUAUUUCCAUUAAUAAAAUAAAAUCUCCUC